UAGUACUGACUGUAGGUAGCCGGGUCAUGACUCUCGACUACCCCAACUCAAUACGACUGAAUAAAGAAAAUACAACACUAUAAACUCUGCAUAACUAACCCAAGCCCUUGAAUCAAAAGGACUCAUCACCUGCUGACUGGAUACCACGAACUGACUGGAUCUGAAGGUACAACUAUACCUUGUACCUACAUUCCAAGAAAAUGUAGCC
This 208-nucleotide long non-coding RNA is filed under the name Capsicum annuum. RNAcentral describes it as "long non-coding RNA (CANN_LNC012579)". Lineage: Eukaryota; Viridiplantae; Streptophyta; Magnoliopsida; Solanales; Solanaceae. The record is from RNAcentral.